Molecule: ribosomal RNA, 1372 nt
Filed under: uncultured bacterium
Lineage: Bacteria
Description: bacterial SSU rRNA
Rfam family: Bacterial small subunit ribosomal RNA
Source: RNAcentral
GAUGAACGCUGGCGGCGUGCCUAAUACAUGCAAGUCGAGCGAACGGACGAGAAGCUUGCUUCUCUGAUGUUAGCGGCGGACGGGUGAGUAACACGUGGAUAACCUACCUAUAAGACUGGGAUAACUUCGGGAAACCGGAGCUAAUACCGGAUAAUAUUUUGAACCGCAUGGUUCAAAAGUGAAAGACGGUCUUGCUGUCACUUAUAGAUGGAUCCGCGCUGCAUUAGCUAGUUGGUAAGGUAACGGCUUACCAAGGCAACGAUGCAUAGCCGACCUGAGAGGGUGAUCGGCCACACUGGAACUGAGACACGGUCCAGACUCCUACGGGAGGCAGCAGUAGGGAAUCUUCCGCAAUGGGCGAAAGCCUGACGGAGCAACGCCGCGUGAGUGAUGAAGGUCUUCGGAUCGUAAAACUCUGUUAUUAGGGAAGAACGUAUGUGUAAGUAACUGUGCACAUCUUGACGGUACCUAAUCAGAAAGCCACGGCUAACUACGUGCCAGCAGCCGCGGUAAUACGUAGGUGGCAAGCGUUAUCCGGAAUUAUUGGGCGUAAAGCGCGCGUAGGCGGUUUUUUAAGUCUGAUGUGAAAGCCCACGGCUCAACCGUGGAGGGUCAUUGGAAACUGGAAAACUUGAGUGCAGAAGAGGAAAGUGGAAUUCCAUGUGUAGCGGUGAAAUGCGCAGAGAUAUGGAGGAACACCAGUGGCGAAGGCGACUUUCUGGUCUGUAACUGACGCUGAUGUGCGAAAGCGUGGGGAUCAAACAGGAUUAGAUACCCUGGUAGUCCACGCCGUAAUCGAUGAGUGCUAAGUGUUAGGGGGUUUCCGCCCCUUAGUGCUGCAGCUAACGCAUUAAGCACUCCGCCUGGGGAGUACGACCGCAAGGUUGAAACUCAAAGGAAUUGACGGGGACCCGCACAAGCGGUGGAGCAUGUGGUUUAAUUCGAAGCAACGCGAAGAACCUUACCAAAUCUUGACAUCCUCUGACCCCUCUAGAGAUAGAGUUUUCCCCUUCGGGGGACAGAGUGACAGGUGGUGCAUGGUUGUCGUCAGCUCGUGUCGUGAGAUGUUGGGUUAAGUCCCGCAACGAGCGCAACCCUUAAGCUUAGUUGCCAUCAUUAAGUUGGGCACUCUAAGUUGACUGCCGGUGACAAACCGGAGGAAGGUGGGGAUGACGUCAAAUCAUCAUGCCCCUUAUGAUUUGGGCUACACACGUGCUACAAUGGACAAUACAAAGGGUAGCGAAACCGCGAGGUCAAGCAAAUCCCAUAAAGUUGUUCUCAGUUCGGAUUGUAGUCUGCAACUCGACUAUAUGAAGCUGGAAUCGCUAGUAAUCGUAGAUCAGCAUGCUACGGUGAAUACGUUCCCGGGUCU